CUGCUUCUAUCGAUUUACUUUCGUUGAAUUGAAUGCAUGUUUGACCGUAAAAAAAAAAAUACAAACUUAUUAUUCUUUGCUUCUUCAAAAGAAUGACAAGCAAACUAAAAAUUUCAUAAGAUAAAGCAAGCAACUGUUGAUGUUCAAUGACUGAAAUUUUGACAUCUAUAUAAUUCAAUUCUUCUGUUCUAACCACAAACAAAGAAACCCUUAAUUUAUUCCAUAAGCUAUCAUUCUUCCACUAAUUUAGAAAAUCAAGUGUUUUUGAUUCGGUAAGAAUUACAAUUGAGUAUAUAAUACAAUUUUUAUGCACCGACAACGUGUAUAUUUUUGAAAUAAACUCCGAAAACAAUACAUGAUAUGUCUUUGUGA
RNAcentral lists this long non-coding RNA (372 nucleotides) under Trifolium pratense (red clover). RNAcentral describes it as "long non-coding RNA (TPRA_LNC007962)". Lineage: Eukaryota; Viridiplantae; Streptophyta; Magnoliopsida; Fabales; Fabaceae. The record is from RNAcentral.